GCAAACCUGUACAAUUUUACAAAAGAAUAAUCCCUGGAAAGGUAUGUAAUCUCAACAGACCAACACUUGUCAGAACAAAAAAAGGUAUGAAAUCUCAACAAACCAACACUUGCCAGAACAAAAAAAGGUAUGAAAUCUCAACAAACCAACACUUGCCAGAACAAAAAAAGGUAUGAAAUCUCAACAAACAACACUUGGUCAAAAAUAUUUACAACUCACUGAGUCUCAAACUCUUUCUUCAACCAACAACAAAGCUUCAAGUUGCUCUCUACGCUGCUCCAACUCCUGCAAUUGACAAGACUAGGGAUUUAUGGUGCUAUUCCG
This 324-nucleotide long non-coding RNA is filed under the name Actinidia chinensis (golden kiwifruit). RNAcentral's name for it is "long non-coding RNA (ACHI_LNC000995)". Lineage: Eukaryota; Viridiplantae; Streptophyta; Magnoliopsida; Ericales; Actinidiaceae. The record is from RNAcentral.